GUGUAGCGUGUACUUUGCAAGUACCGUGAGAAUUGCAAGCGCGCAUGUGCAAUGAAAAUUGUCAUUUCCGCCGUGAGAGUUACAAGUUUUCAGAUCAUAAUACAAGUAUUUCACUGUUAAUGAUGAUAAUCAAAUGUGUCAACAUUCGAAAACACCACAGUGAAGAUCUUGGAAUCACAUAAUUAUAUUAAGUGUGUCGGGAAACCCGCGAAUACUACGCUAGCAUCUGUAAAACGUUGUCUGUGAGCGGCGUAUGUUACACCUCGUUUGCAUACAAGAUGUAAACAAAGAUUCAACGCAGAAAAAAAUAUAACGGUUGGGAAAGCAGGUGUACCAAAAUUAAAGUUCUUACCCAGAUGAUCUCAAGGACAGCUCUACAAAGUUUGCCAGAAAUAGAAGGGACAACUUUAAGCUAAAAGCCAGCAAGUUCUUUCUGAGAGGUUCAGUUCUCCAAAUACACUCAUGUAUUCCUGCCAAUAUGCAUCAAUGGGAAUCACUGGGUGUUGCUGGUUGCAGACGUAAAGCAAAGACUUGUCUACGUUCUGGACUCUAUGAAUGGGGAGGUUGGUCAGAAAUGGACAAGGAUGUGGGCAGAAUUCAUGGCCAAUCGGGACAGACUUCCAGAUGUUACUGAACAGUUUGGUGUGUGGAACUUCCCGGAGAUCAGAAGCAGCAAACAGACCGACAGUAAUUCAUGCGGUGUGUUCACCCUGAUGAAUGCGGAAUGCAUUGCCAAGGAUGUUCCCAUAGCAGUCAUGAGACAAGUGCAUUGCCAAAGAUAUAGACAAUAUGUUAAGGCAUCUUUGCUCAAUGCUGGAGCAGCAAAGUCGGACUCUAAGUGUGACAUGCCAGAUUGUAGGAUACCUAAAGGACACAAAAGAUGGGUCCAGUGUUGCGUGUGUGGACGUUGGCUCCACACAAAGUGUUGCAGGAUUCCGACAAAGGCAGCCAUCGAGGAGGAAUACGAAUGCUGCUUCUGUGAAGCCAUGUAUAGAUAGACAUUCAUAGCUCAUUAUUGCUACCAAUUGGUUUGGAAAAGCUUCCUCUUCCAAUUUCUAUUAGGACUGGUCAAAUUUGAUGAACAAUGUGUUAUGGUGUAGUUUAUCUGUCUGUUAAUUUUUGUUAUCUCCUACAUUUUUCUAACAAUCUCUUUGAAACUUGGUAUUCAUUAUAAUUAUGAUAGGAAAUUGUAUUACCCUGAAAAGGUUUUAAUUUCAUUAUUUUUGAACAAGUUUAUUUCAGUGAUGAAAAUUCUUGUCACAUCAUUCCUAUUUUUAUCCUGCCAUCAUCAGAUGGUGGACUAUUCAAAUCGCCCUGCAUCCAUCAUCUCUAUGUCCAUAACAAUCCUUGUUAUCAUUAUGUCAAAGUACUGGAGGUACAUUUCUAUAACAUGAUGAGUAGGUUCCCCUUAGUUCCCAGUUGUGUUAAAACAAAAUGACUGACAGGUGGCCAUCUUUGAUUUUGAGAACUAGAAGAUUUUUGUAGCUACAUUGUAUUUCUUAAAGUACUGGAGGAGUGUUUUGCAAACUUCACUUGUUCUUGUCAUCAGAUUAUGAAGAGGGAAAAAAAAGAAAUGGAAAAGUAAUGAAAUCAGUCUGACAUAGAACCAUUAGAGAUUGUUCAAUGGUGUACACCAAGAUUCCCCUGGUCUCCUGUUAAUUAGAAAAAUGGAUAUAAAUAAUUUCUUGAAAAGUACUGAAGGAAUAUUGCUCAAAUUUUGCUUGUAGGUUCCCAUUGGUAUCAAGUUGUGUCAAUUCAAUUUAGAUUUUUGAUGAGAAAAAUAGAAUGGUCGUCAGACACCCAUCUUAGAUUUGAAGAAUUAAAGUUUGUUAUAUUAUCACUAUUUCUUGAAAAGGGAUGUUUCUCAAACUUCACAUGUACAUGAAGGUUCCAUUUGUUCUUUGAAUCAGAAUAUUAAGAAAGAAAAAAUAAGGGAGAGUUAUAGAAGAUCAGUGUGACACAGAACCGAUCAUUGAAUUGUGGGUACCAAUUUUCCCCUGGGAUCACUCGUUAGCCUCAAUUUUGAAAAUUAAUUGAUAGGCUUUAUAUAAGAUAUGAAGUUGUUUCAUAUGAAUGUUUCUACCCUUUGUUCAUUUGAGCAUUUUAUAGUUGUCCUAAGAUUUCCAUUUUUUUGUGAACAUGGAAUGCAUUAUAGUCAUAGUUAUAUUCCCACCACAAAAAAAUUUUGGAUUGGUCCAAUGAAUACUUUAAUAUUAUUACUGGGGAGGGGGUAGACUUUACAAUAGUUUAUAUAAGGAUGACUUUCCACAUUUUUGACAAUCAUUUAAUUGUUGACAUUUAAUUUGUUAACAUUAUCAGCAUUGGAUGACAGCUUAAUGAUAUGCACAUGUUGGCCCUGACAGACCCCCAGGGACUGAUGUGUGGGGCUAAAAAGGGUCAAUUAGAUUAACUGAAAUAUUUCAAAUCUCAGGUGACCGUUAAGGCCCAUGGGCCUCUUGUUAAUUUGUAGAUUUCUUUUGCAUCUAUUACAUUUACUUUUUUGUAACAGAAUCUGUAUUAUAUUUUCUUGUGUCACAAGAUUUGGAAUUAUAUGUAAAUUGUAUAUAUCAUUGCCACACCAAAUGAAAUUUUAUGAUUCAUUUGUCAAGCUAUGACUGUUACACUUUUCAGAUAUAUAAGUCAUUAAAAAGGAGGAAACAUUUCAAAAACUAUAGAAAUGUUAUAUAUAUAAAAAAUAUUAAAACAUUAAAUUCAGUGAAGUUUUCUUUGAUGUUCUACUUCUAAGAUGUAUGAUCCCUGUGCUUGCUUUUGAUGAAGUCUAUUUGGAAUUUCAUUAGUAGGAACAAUUGGAGUUACAAAUACUUUGGUGUGGCCUUCAUUCUCUAACUUACAUAUAAAGUUAUUAAGUCACUUGCUUCGCUAUGUAGCUUGUAGCUGUGACAAAUGAAAUAUUCAUUAUAACUUUUCCUUUGUGCUGAAUAAAAUGUGAAAAGUACCAUAA
Molecule: long non-coding RNA, 2962 nt
Organism: Pecten maximus
Lineage: Eukaryota; Metazoa; Mollusca; Bivalvia; Pectinida; Pectinidae
Exons: 3
Source: RefSeq, a predicted model, not a curated record